CUACGCUGAUGAUUCACGAACUGAACUCUCUCUUUCUGAUAGUUUAGUGGAGACAGCAACAAAAAUUCUGAGUAGC
RNAcentral lists this small nucleolar RNA (76 nucleotides) under Castor canadensis (American beaver). RNAcentral's name for it is "Small nucleolar RNA SNORD26 (ENSCCNG00000031285.1)". It matches the Rfam family "Small nucleolar RNA SNORD26". Rfam says of the family: U26 is a member of the C/D class of snoRNA which contain the C (UGAUGA) and D (CUGA) box motifs. Lineage: Eukaryota; Metazoa; Chordata; Mammalia; Rodentia; Castoridae. The record is from Rfam by way of RNAcentral.